Long non-coding RNA from Gallus gallus (chicken), 1076 nucleotides. The record is from Ensembl. NCBI's taxonomy places the organism in Eukaryota, Metazoa, Chordata, Aves, Galliformes, Phasianidae.
UGCCCAGGGAGCUGAUGGGGGCUCCAGCCCUGCCUCUUGAACUGGUGCUAGUGCUUCUGUGGCAUCAGUGUGUGCUCACGAGUAGAAAAGCCCCUGGGUUUCUCUGGUGUGCUCUUUGUGGGGGGCCUGCGCUCCCCAUGUUCAGACUCACACCAAGGGGUAUUCGUCUGGCUCAUAAGGGAAAGUGACCUCCUGAUCCCAGCCGUGGCCAAAAAACAAACGGGAAUAGGCCCUGAGGCAGUCCCUCUGCGGGUGUUAGGCAAAGCACCUCACCCUCCUAUUUGCGGUUUAUUUAUAGAUAGCCUUAUUUGUUUGUAUUGUCAAGAAGUAAUAAUUCCUAGAUUGUUUCUUAAGUGUCUUGAGAAUAAAGUUCAGAUGCUGCCAAGUGUACACGUGACAGAUAAAUGAGAGUAUAACAGCAGAAUCCUCCUUUGUCUUGGAAAUCAUGUUGGUUUCCUGUUAAGAAAAUGAGAAGCAGAUGUUAAAAAACACAGCCAGUGGUGUGCAUGCUCAUGCUGCACGGGGACAGCCUGGGCUAUAAAAUGGUGACUGCUAGGGGGAAGAAGGGUGGGUUUUAAUUGUACUUUAUUUCACUUUUACAUUUCUUUUACUUUAUUUUUAAGAGCUGCCAUUCAGAUGUCUCUGGUAAACUGUGAUCUGUUACCUUCAGCUGGUUUGUGUGAUUGGGAUUACUAAUGAGGAUGCUUCCUUAGAUGAGCACAUUCAGUGCUACUGCAAAUACUGGGCUUUUCUGUCUUCACCAGGUACAACAUGUACAGACUGCUUUUUAAAACAGUAGGAAUUACUCCCUGGAAAUGAACAGUAGUUAAAAUGGAAGACAAGUAUAAUAACAAUCAGAGCCAACAAGUCUGCAAACAAAUGCUUUGGGUAUCUAAUAUCAGGCCAAUUUCAGUGGUGUUCGUUUGACUGUACUGCAUAAUCCAUCAUUACUGAACCAGAAAAGGCUGUUUAUCACUUCUAAUCGUUAUCAUCAAAAUACUCUGAACAACAGUAAGAAGCACUUCUACAAACCCUCUUCAGAGGAAAUGAUAGGGUAUUUUUCUGAACUAAGGGAA